This 253-nucleotide ribosomal RNA is filed under the name uncultured bacterium. RNAcentral describes it as "partial 16S ribosomal RNA". It matches the Rfam family "Bacterial small subunit ribosomal RNA", at positions 524 to 776 of the family's 1533-position model. The record is from RNAcentral.
UACGUAGGGUGCGAGCGUUGUCCGGAAUUAUUGGGCGUAAAGGGCUCGUAGGCGGUUUGUCGCGUCGGGAGUGAAAUCCACUGGCUUAACUGGUGGCUUGCCUUCGAUACGGGCAGACUGGAGGUAUGCAGGGGAGAACGGAAUUCCUGGUGUAGCGGUGAAAUGCGCAGAUAUCAGGAGGAACACCGGUGGCGAAGGCGGGUCUCUGGGCCGAUACUGACGCUGAGGAGCGAAAGCGUGGGGAGCAAACAGG